UGCCUCCCCACGACUCGGAAGAAUAAGUCUGAUGUGAAAGCCCUCGGCUUAACCGAGGAAUUGCAUCGGAAACUGUUUUUUCUUUGAGUGCAGAAGAGGAGAGUGGAACUCCAUGUGUAGCGGUGGAAUGCGUAGAUAUAUAGGAAGAACACCAGUGGCGAAGGCGGCUCUCUGGUCUGCAACUGACACUGAGGUGCGAAAGCGGUGGGGAGACAAACGAGGAUUAGAUACCCUGGUAGUCCACGACCGUAAACGAUGGAUACUAGGUGUUGUCUGUAUCGACCCGGACAGUCGCCGUAGACUAACGUCGUUAAGUACUCCCGCCGUGGGGAGUACGCACGACAAGUGUAGAACUACGAAAGGAAUUGACGGGGCCCGCACAAGCGGUGGAGUAUGUGGUUUAAUUCGAUGUCGACGCGGCCG
RNAcentral lists this ribosomal RNA (423 nucleotides) under uncultured bacterium. RNAcentral describes it as "bacterial SSU rRNA". It matches the Rfam family "Bacterial small subunit ribosomal RNA", at positions 566 to 967 of the family's 1533-position model. The record is from RNAcentral.